AUUGAACGCUGGCGGCAUGCUUUACACAUGCAAGUCGAACGGCAGCGCGGGGCAACCUGGCGGCGAGUGGCGAACGGGUGAGUAAUAUAUCGGAACGUACCCAGAAGUGGGGGAUAACGUAGCGAAAGUUACGCUAAUACCGCAUACUAUCUACGGAUGAAAGUAGGGGACCGCAAGGCCUUAUGCUUUUGGAGCGGCCGGUAUCUGCUUAUAUAGGUUGUGGGGUAAAGGCUCACCAAGGCGACGAUCAGCAGCUGGUCUGAGAGGACGACCAGCCACACUGGAACGGAGCACGGGUCAAGACCCCUACGGGAGGAAGCAGUGGGAAAUUUUGGACAAUGGGCGAAAGCCUGAUCAAGCAAUGCCGCGUGAGUGAAGAAGGCCUUCGGUUUGUAAAGCUCUUUUGUCAGGGAAGAAACGGUAGAGGCUAAUACCCUUUGCUAAUGACGGAACCUGAGAAUAAGCACCGGCUAACUACGUG
Molecule: ribosomal RNA, 481 nt
Filed under: uncultured bacterium
Lineage: Bacteria
Description: partial 16S ribosomal RNA
Rfam family: Bacterial small subunit ribosomal RNA
Source: RNAcentral